CUUAUAGAGCACUGGGUGCAGGAAGCUGACUCUCUGGUAGAGAUUCACAGGCAGGAAGUUUAUUCAGAGUGCUCUGGGGCAACACCUGUGAGGGAAUACAGGCAGUAAAACAGGGCAGAGGGAGAGGCUGAAUUCUGAUGCAGCUGCAAACAAAAGCCUGACUGAUCCAGGAGGAUGCUCUGCAACGGGGCUGGGCGUUCAAAGUGGAUCCAAGCCGGGUGAAAUAGUUCUCCUCAGCCACAGGCAAUCCCGAAGAGGGUCUCAGCUGAGCACUGUCAGCUGCCAACAUUACCAGCAGCUGAAGAAGGAAGUCCUUCCCUCCUGGAAGCGGGUGGAGGGAGUGUUGUAGAUCUGGGCUGCCUGACAACAUCUUCUGCAUUGCUCAGGGCGUGUUUCCCACUCAACUCUCAGUGAAAAGGACUACAGAGAGUGUUCUGAGGUUGCUGAUCAGCAAGACAGUGAUGAAUAAACUCAAAGGAAAGGAAAAUCAUUUGGCAACCGGAAGGUGUGGGAGGAUAGCUGUAAAUGAAACUGACGGCAAAAAACAGAGCAGAGAAGUUUAAAGAAAAAAAAUAACAGCAUUCCUGGUGAUGCCCCAUUGGGCCAAUGAAACAAACACAUUCUGAAGCCUUUCCUAACCAGGAGCCAACCAAUCUCAUCACUGUGAAGCCAGAAAACCCUAUCUAUUGAAGAUGACUGCUUUCUUCUACUGUAGCUGGCAAUUUUAUGAAAUGAAGAAAAUUUGCUCUAGUUGCAAGUGACACACACCUCUUAAAUGUCUGCUAUCAAUUAAAAGUAAAAUACUGGUUACUUGCAACUAUCAAUUAGAUACAAUGCACUCCAGGAGAUCAGGAGCCUUGGCAUUCAGACAUAGGAGCAUUUUUUUGGCUUUGCCAUUUACUUGCA
This 906-nucleotide long non-coding RNA is filed under the name Homo sapiens (human). Its description in RNAcentral is "HSALNT0063084". Lineage: Eukaryota; Metazoa; Chordata; Mammalia; Primates; Hominidae. The record is from RNAcentral.